RNAcentral lists this transfer RNA (64 nucleotides) under Tomicus yunnanensis. RNAcentral's name for it is "tRNA-His". The record is from RNAcentral. Lineage: Eukaryota; Metazoa; Arthropoda; Insecta; Coleoptera; Curculionidae.
GUUUAAAUAGUUUAUUGAAAACGUUAAUUUGUGGAAUUAAAAAUAUGAAUUUUCAUUUUGAACA